GGACCCGCACAAGCGGUGGAGCAUGUGGUUUAAUUCGAAGCAACGCGAAGAACCUUACCAACUCUUGACAUCCCCCUGACCGGUACAGAGAUGUACCUUCCCCUUCGGGGGCAGGGGUGACAGGUGGUGCAUGGUUGUCGUCAGCUCGUGUCGUGAGAUGUUGGGUUAAGUCCCGCAACGAGCGCAACCCUUGUCCUUAGUUGCCAGCAUUUGGUUGGGCACUCUAGGGAGACUGCCGGUGACAAACCGGAGGAAGGUGGGGAUGACGUCAAAUCAUCAUGCCCCUUAUGAGUUGGGCUACACACGUGCUACAAUGGACGGUACAAAGGGCAGCGAAGCCGCGAGGUGGAGCCAAUCCCAGAAAGCCGUUCUCAGUUCGGAUUGCAGGCUGCAACUCGCCUGCAUGAAGUCGGAAUCGCUAGUAAUCGCAGGUC
This 434-nucleotide ribosomal RNA is filed under the name uncultured bacterium. Its description in RNAcentral is "bacterial SSU rRNA". It matches the Rfam family "Bacterial small subunit ribosomal RNA", at positions 917 to 1350 of the family's 1533-position model. The record is from RNAcentral.